UUCCUAGUGAUUAGAGUUUGAUCAUGGCUCAGAACGUACGCUGGCGGCACGCCUAACACAUGCAAGUCGAACGCAGUAGCAAUACUGAGUGGCAGACGGGUGAGUAUAAUGUGGGAAUCUGCCUUUUGGUUCGGAAUAACUCGGGGAAACUUGAGCUAAUACCGGAUAAGCCCUUACGGGGAAAGAUUUAUCGCCAAAAGAUGAGCCCGCACUUGAUUAGCUAGUUGGUGAGGUAAUUGCUCACCAAGGCAACAAUCAAUAGCUGUUCUUAGAGGAAGACCAGCCACAUUGGGACUGAGACACGGCCCAGACUCCUACGGGAGGCAGCAGUGGGGAAUCUUGCACAAUGGGGGAAACUCUGAUGCAGCGAUGCCGCGUGAGUGAAGAAGGCCCUUGGGUUGUAAAGCUCUUUCGUCGGGGAAGAAAAUGACUGUACCCGAAUAAGAAGGUCCGGCUAACUUCGUGCCAGCAGCCGCGGUAAUACGAAGGGACCUAGCGUAGUUCGGAAUUACUGGGCUUAAAGAGUUCGUAGGUGGUUGAAAAAGUUGGUGGUGAAAUCCCAGAGCUUAACUCUGGAACUGCCAUCAAAACUUUUCAGCUAGAGUUUGAUAGAGGAAAGCAGAAUUUCUAGUGUAGAGGUGAAAUUCGUAGAUAUUAGAAAGAAUACCAAUUGCGAAGGCAGCUUUCUGGAUCAUUACUGACACUGAGGAACGAAAGCAUGGGUAGCGAAGAGGAUUAGAUACCCUCGUAGUCCAUGCCGUAAACGAUGUGUGUUAGACGUUGGAAAUUUAUUUUCAGUGUCGCAGCGAAAGCGAUAAACACACCGCCUGGGGAGUACGACCGCAAGGUUAAAACUCAAAUGAAUUGACGGGGACCCGCACAAGUAGUGGAGCAUGUGGUUUAAUUCGAAGAUACGCGCAGAACCUUACCAACACUUGACAUGUUCGUCGCGACUUUAAGAGAUUAAAGUUUUCGGUUCGGCCGGACGAAACACAGGUGCUGCAUGGCUGUCGUCAGCUCGUGUCGUGAGAUGUUGGGUUAAGUCCCGCAACGAGCGCAACCCUCACUUUUAGUUGCCAUCAUUAAGUUGGGCACUCUGAAAGAACUGCCAGUGAUAAGCUGGAGGAAGGUGGGGAUGACGUCAAGUCCUCAUGGCCCUUACGUGUUGGGCUACACACGUGCUACAAUGGUAUCUACAACAGGAAGCGAAACAGCGAUGUUAAGCAAAUCCUUAAAAGAUACCUCAGUUCGGAUUGCACUCUGCAACUCGAGUGCAUGAAGCUGGAAUUACUAGUAAUCGUGGAUCAGCGUGCCACGGUGAAUGCGUUCCCGGGUCUUGUACACACCGCCCGUA
This 1354-nucleotide ribosomal RNA is filed under the name uncultured bacterium. RNAcentral describes it as "partial 16S ribosomal RNA". It matches the Rfam family "Bacterial small subunit ribosomal RNA". The record is from RNAcentral.